CGGAGGAAGAAAUAACRUGAUUUCCCUAGUAACGGCGAGUGAAGAGGAAAGAGCUCAAAGUUGGAAACUGUUUGGCUUAGCUAAACCGUAUUGUAAACUGUAGAAACAUUUUCCUGGCACGCCGGAUUAAUAAGUCCUUUGGAACAAGGCAUCAUGGAGGGUGAGAAUCCCGUCUUUGAUCCGAGUAGUUGUCUUUUGUGAUAUGUUUUCAAAGAGUCAGGUUGUUUGGGAAUGCAGCCUAAAUUGGGUGGUAAAUCUCACCUAAAGCUAAAUAUUUGCGAGAGACCGAUAGCGAACAAGUACCGUGAGGGAAAGAUGAAAAGAACUUUGAAAAGAGAGUUAAACAGUAUGUGAAAUUGUUAARAGGGAACCGUUUGGAGCCAGACUGGUUUGACUGUAAUCAACCUAGAAUUCGUUCUGGGUGCACUUGCAGUCUAUACCUGCCAACAACAGUUUGAUUUGGAGGAAAAAAUUAGUAGGAAUGUAGCCUCUCGAGGUGUUAUAGCCUACUAUCAUACUCUGGAUUGGACUGAGGAACGCAGCGAAUGCCUUUAGGCCAGAUUGCUGGGUGCUUUCGCUAAUAAAUGUUAGAAUUUCUGCUUCGGGUGGUGCUAAUGUUUAAAGGAGGAACACAUCUAGUAUAUUUUUUAUUCGCUUAGGUUGUUGGCUUAAUGACUCUAAAUGACCCGUCUUGAAACACGGACCAAGGAGUCCACCAUAAGUGCRAGUAUUUGAGUGACAAACUCAUAUGCGUAAGGAAACUGAUUGAUACCAAAUCUUUUGAUGGCAGUAUCACCCGGCGUUGACGUUGUAUACUGAACUGACCGAGGUAAAGCACUUAUGAUGGGGACCCGAAAGAUGGUGAACU
RNAcentral lists this ribosomal RNA (868 nucleotides) under Mucor sp. DB5762. RNAcentral describes it as "LSU rRNA". It matches the Rfam family "Eukaryotic large subunit ribosomal RNA", at positions 51 to 832 of the family's 3401-position model. Lineage: Eukaryota; Fungi; Mucoromycota; Mucoromycetes; Mucorales; Mucoraceae. The record is from RNAcentral.